Molecule: ribosomal RNA, 477 nt
Filed under: uncultured organism
Description: partial 16S ribosomal RNA
Rfam family: Bacterial small subunit ribosomal RNA
Source: RNAcentral
UACACUCCUGCGGGAGGCAGCAGUGGGGAAUUUUGGACAAUGGGCGAAAGCCUGAUCCAGCAAUGCCGCGUGAGUGAAGAAGGCCUUCGGGUUGUAAAGCUCUUUUGUCAGGGAAGAAACGGUGAGAGCUAAUAUCUUUUGCUAAUGACGGUACCUGAAGAAUAAGCACCGGCUAACUACGUGCCAGCAGCCGCGGUAAUACGUAGGGUGCAAGCGUUAAUCGGAAUUACUGGGCGUAAAGCGUGCGCAGGCGGUUUUGUAAGUCUGAUGUGAAAUCCCCGGGCUCAACCUGGGAAUUGCAUUGGAGACUGCAAGGCUAGAAUCUGGCAGAGGGGGGUAGAAUUCCACGUGUAGCAGUGAAAUGCGUAGAUAUGUGGAGGAACACCGAUGGCGAAGGCAGCCCCCUGGGUCAAGAUUGACGCUCAUGCACGAAAGCGUGGGGAGCAAACAGGAUUAGAUACCCGAGUAGUCCCAUGA